RNAcentral lists this ribosomal RNA (465 nucleotides) under Vreelandella stevensii. RNAcentral's name for it is "partial 16S ribosomal RNA". It matches the Rfam family "Bacterial small subunit ribosomal RNA", at positions 338 to 795 of the family's 1533-position model. The record is from RNAcentral. Lineage: Bacteria; Pseudomonadati; Pseudomonadota; Gammaproteobacteria; Oceanospirillales; Halomonadaceae.
CCUACGGGAGGCAGCAGUGGGGAAUAUUGGACAAUGGGGGGAACCCUGAUCCAGCCAUGCCGCGUGUGUGAAGAAGGCCCUCGGGUUGUAAAGCACUUUCAGUGAGGAAGAACGCCUGGUGGUUAAUACCCAUCAGGAAAGACAUCACUCACAGAAGAAGCACCGGCUAACUCCGUGCCAGCAGCCGCGGUAAUACGGAGGGUGCGAGCGUUAAUCGGAAUUACUGGGCGUAAAGCGCGCGUAGGUGGCUUGAUAAGCCGGUUGUGAAAGCCCCGGGCUCAACCUGGGAACGGCAUCCGGAACUGUCACGCUAGAGUGCAGGAGAGGAAGGUAGAAUUCCCGGUGUAGCGGUGAAAUGCGUAGAGAUCGGGAGGAAUACCAGUGGCGAAGGCGGCCUUCUGGACUGACACUGACACUGAGGUGCGAAAGCGUGGGUAGCAAACAGGAUUAGAUACCCGUGUAGUC